RNAcentral lists this long non-coding RNA (3015 nucleotides) under Chinchilla lanigera (long-tailed chinchilla). RNAcentral describes it as "lncRNA (ENSCLAG00000028369.1)". The record is from RNAcentral. Lineage: Eukaryota; Metazoa; Chordata; Mammalia; Rodentia; Chinchillidae.
CAGCGAGUUCAAGGCCAGCCUGGACCACAUCGGGAAACUGUCUCAAAAAACCCAAAAGAGAAGGAGGAGGAGGCGGAAGAAGACCCGGGGGAGGUGAAGGAGAGCCCUGUCCGUCCUGUCCCGGAACACGCUGCACGCUUACUUGAUAACCAAGUCACCGGGGCGAAGCCGCGGGACAUUUUCAGAGCGGCAGCCAGGAACCCUCGCAGGGUGUCGAAGCUUUGGGCGAUCCUCAGCCCUGGAGACCCACACCGCGGAACGCGCUCUGCCCGCCAAGAGCGACUGCCAGGAGGGAUAAGUAAGCAGCAGGGCGUUGCGUUAGAGGACUCGGCAGAUCAAUUUCCACUGAGCCCGAGCGCCCUCCCCCACCAGGGGUGGGACAUGCGCACUGUGACUACGUGGGGGAGGGAGAAAUCCAGUGCUGGGGACAGAUCCCAAACCUUGUGUGCACUGAGCAAGUGUCUGCUCCAGAGCUCCCCCCAGCCUUCGGACUCUACUCAGAAUCACGAUGCUCACACAGCCCUGAGAAGAAAGAACAAUGAAUUGCGUGGGGCACCGGGGGCGAACACCUGUGAUCCCAGCUGCGAGGAGGCUGAGACCAGAGGAUCACAAGUUGAAGCCCAGCCUCGCAACUUAGUAAAAACCCUCAAAAUUGAAAAAGUAAUAAAUGCAAGGAGAGGGCACUAGGGAUGUAACUCACCGGGAGCGCCCCCCGAGGUUUAAUCCCCAACACCAAAAACCUAAAUAAAUCUGAUAGUGGCCUUUUUAGAGGAGGAUGUGAAUCAGAAACACUUUCACUUCAUUUUUUUAAAAGUUACAUUAAAUAAAGUAAAACUGCAUUAGGUAUCCCACAAGGCUUUUUAAACACAAACCGUAGUUGCUGAAGUCUGUGAUGUCUCUGUAAGAAAACGCUGGAAGCCAGACAAAAGGCCGCUGACCCCGUGUUGGAACACGGUCAAGUAAUAAUUGAUAGCCGGGCAUGGUAGUGCACACCUGCCAUCCCAGCGCUCCAGGAGGCUGAGGCAGGAGGAUCAUCAGUUUGAGUCUCUUCUGGCAAUUUAGGGACUGGUGAGAUCGUGUCUCAAAAUAAAAAAUGAAAAGGCUUGAGGAUGUGGUCAGUGCAGAGGUCCUGGGUUCAAUUUCCAGUACUGGAAGGGGAAAAAAAUUGAUUAUCCUCCUGUCUACUUGUCUGGGCCAGCGACCGCACGCCAAAGAGCCUGGCUUGCCCUGGCCUGUCCCUGGCCUUCGCUCCCUCUCCUGGAAAUGCUUUCAGCACCUUUCCUCGGUGUCUGGGGCGUGAGGUGCUGCGUGUCCAAGUGUGGCCGGGGUUCCUUCAGGAACAGCUCGCCAGUUAACCGGAGUCCAGGUCCUCCUUGCCUCGAAGGAAGAGCUGGACAGGCCAAGCCAAAGGCGGUGCCAGAAGUUCAUCUGAAAAGUGAGGGGUGAAGGAGUAAGGGAAAACUCGGCUCCGCGGAGUGAAGUUGGACCAAAUAAAAGAGAGGAAACGAUACAAGCAAAAAUAAGGUGCGCCUGGUGCAGUGGCACGGAGCGGGCUCCCAGGGGCGCCUCCUCUCUUUUAUGCCACCAGCAUCUCGCGGGAGCCCGCGGGAAGCUCCACAUCCGGGGUCCUGGGAGUUAUUUGGCGCUGCCGCAGGUCCUGCAGCUGAGAGCGCAGCCCGCUCUGCCGUGCCCCUGAGAGGCGUCGAUCCCACACACCCGCAUGGGGUGUGAGGAGCGGAGGGCUCUGUCUCCUGUGGCUUCUUCCGGCGGGAAGGCGCUGCAGGCCCUACGUUCUGGGGGCUGUGUGCUAUCCCACUGCCUUGGGGUACUGAGGCUCUGGCUGGGUCAAAGCAAAUAAAACCUGUCAGAAAAUAAUGAGAAAGGAACCUUGAGCUGCCUGUUGGAUGGGACAGAGAAACUUUAUUAUUAGCCCAGAUGUGAGAUGCAGGUCAGACCUCCGCGCUUCCUGGAGAGAGGAAUGUGCGCGAGAGAUGCACGUCAGAUGAAUUAUUCAGGGCCGGAGAGCCUUGGCCUGAGCAAGGUCCUGUUCUCUUAUCUGUAGCAGCUGGAGCUUUGCCUUUUAAAGGGAAAUUUCAGGUCUUCCAGAGGCUCACGGGAGUUGCUUUUCCUUCUGGGUGAUCUUGUUCCUUAGUUCAGGUGGGACCGGCUUCAGUGUGGAAACAUGAACCCGAUUACCUGUCUGCGCCACUUUUGCUGCAGGGGGUGAGGCAAGGGUCCCUGAGAAGGCCCUUCCCAUGCUGGCUUUAACUGGUCAGCAGGCGUCCCCUCUCUCCACGUCUUCACUUGGUGACCAGAGUGGACGCGAGGUGGGGCCCUCCGGCCAGGAGCCAGCAGGACUCUGUUCCCGGCCAGUUGGGCGGCUUGUUGCACUUGGCCCAGACUGAUGACGUAUUGUACGUGCCCCAUGGUCUGUGGCUCUACUGUGAUAUCCGAGGGUAGAAACGGCCUUCCGUAUAACAUCUGAAAUGGGCUCAAACUUAGCCCCGAUUUGGGGAUGUUACAAGUCCUCAUGAUGUACCGGUAGCAGUCGGAGCCAGGGCUCAGACGUCUCUUGGCAAAGUUUGCCAGAGCUCCCUUCGGGGCCUGGUUGGCCGUACCUUUCCAGAAGAUUGAGGCCACCAGGACAAAUGAAAGUGGUGCUUUAUCCCCAAAGCCUUUGCCACUCCCGGAGUUAUCUGGGAGGUCACAGAAGGCCCAUUGUCGCUGCGGAGAGAGUGGGGUAGUCCGGAUCUGGGAUUCCUUUGAGAAGCGCCUUGACUACCUCAGCGCCCUUUGUGGAGCAGGGAGGAAAGGCUUCAGUCCUGCCUGUGAAGGUGUCGAUCAGGACCGACAUCUGUUUAAACCCCCCACGUGGUGGCACGCGGGUAACGUCUAGUUGCCAGUCCUCCCCAGGGCCUGUCCCUCUCCUCUGCGCAGGUUCCAGUGAAGGAGGUUCGGGCUCGCCCGGGUUACUGUGGGCACACAGUGGGCCCACGCUGCAGACCUGUCGGGCGG